CUGGCUCAGGACGAACGCUGGCGGCGUGCUUAACACAUGCAAGUCGAACGGGAGUAUUGAAGAAGCUUGCUUUAGAGAUACUUAGUGGCGGACGGGUGAGUAACGCGUGAGGAGCUGUCCUAUGCAGGGGGACAACAGCUGGAAACGGCUGCUAAUACCCCAUAAGCCGAGAGGUAAAAGGAUCAAUCCGGCAGAGGAGGUACUCGCGUCCUAUCAGCUAGUAGGUGAGGUAACGGCUCACCUAGGCGAAGACGGGUAGCCGGCCUGAGAGGGCGAACGGCCACACUGGAACUGAGAUACGGUCCAGACUCCUACGGGAGGCAGCAGUGGGGAAUAUUGGGCAAUGGGGGAAACCCUGAACCCCAGCGACGCCGCGUGGGUGAAGAAAUCCUUCGGGAUGUAAAGCCCUGUUGUAUGGGAAGAGCGGAAGACGGUACCAUACGAGGAAGCCCCGGCAAACUACGUGCCAGCAGCUGC
Molecule: ribosomal RNA, 477 nt
Filed under: uncultured bacterium
Lineage: Bacteria
Description: bacterial SSU rRNA
Rfam family: Bacterial small subunit ribosomal RNA
Source: RNAcentral